This 497-nucleotide ribosomal RNA is filed under the name uncultured bacterium. RNAcentral describes it as "partial 16S ribosomal RNA". It matches the Rfam family "Bacterial small subunit ribosomal RNA", at positions 28 to 507 of the family's 1533-position model. The record is from RNAcentral.
GAUGAACGCUGGCGGCGUGCCUAAUACAUGCAAGUCGAGCGAACAGACGAGGAGCUUGCUCCUCUGACGUUAGCGGCGGACGGGUGAGUAACACGUGGAUAACCUACCUAUAAGACUGGGAUAACUUCGGGAAACCGGAGCUAAUACCGGAUAAUAUAUUGAACCGCAUGGUUCAAUAGUGAAAGACGGUUUUGCUGUCACUUAUAGAUGGAUCCGCGCCGCAUUAGCUAGUUGGUAAGGUAACGGCUUACCAAGGCAACGAUGCGUAGCCGACCUGAGAGGGUGAUCGGCCACACCGGAACUGAGACACGGUCCAGACUCCUACGGGAGGCAGCAGUAGGGAAUCUUCCGCAAUGGGCGAAAGCCUGACGGAGCAACGCCGCGUGAGUGGUGAAGGUCUUCGGAUCGUAAAACUCUGUUAUUAGGGAAGAACAAAUGUGUAAGUAACUAUGCACGUCUUGACGGUACCUAAUCAGAAAGCCACGGCUAACUACGUG